UACGAAGGGUGCAAGCGUUAUUCGGAAUCAUUGGGCGUAAAGCGCGCGCAGGCGGAUUGAUAAGUCAGGUGUGAAAUCUCGGGGCUCAACCUCGAAACUGCGCCUGAAACUAUUAGUCUAGAAUGUCGGAGGGGGCAGGCGAAUUUCACGUGUAGGGGUAAAAUCCGUAGAGAUGUGAAGGAACACCGGAGGCGAAGGCGCCUGCCUGGACGAUUAUUGACGCUGAGGCGCGAAAGCGUGGGGAGCAAACAGG
This 253-nucleotide ribosomal RNA is filed under the name uncultured bacterium. RNAcentral's name for it is "partial 16S ribosomal RNA". It matches the Rfam family "Bacterial small subunit ribosomal RNA", at positions 524 to 776 of the family's 1533-position model. The record is from RNAcentral.